Long non-coding RNA from Engraulis encrasicolus (European anchovy), 642 nucleotides. RefSeq lists it as uncharacterized. The transcript has 4 exons. The record is from RefSeq and is a predicted model, not a curated record. NCBI's taxonomy places the organism in Eukaryota, Metazoa, Chordata, Actinopteri, Clupeiformes, Engraulidae.
CUACGUCCUCAAAGAGAAACAAAUCCUACCGUGGACAGACUUUCCACCGUUUCGCCAAAGAGCAGGCACUUCGGCGUGAAUGAAUUAAUCACAUCAAGAGGGAUCCUGGUCCAUAUUUCAAGAUCAACGCUGAGACCGAGGUUUGAUCUGAGCACGUUGAGAAGCAAUGCUUUGUUAAGGUCACCCGUGGUAUGACAACGCUAAUAAAGGAUGCUGUGCCUGCCAACUUUGUUCGCCUGGACUUCAGAGAAGCCAAAGAGGAGAAUCAUCAUUCGCAUACCGUGUAUGGAUUCCAUGGAGUAUUCCAUCGAGUAUUUCUUCUGUUUCAAUCGUCUUGGUGAAGUUUUUGAGCUGGAUCUGGAUUCUGCUGAGGAUUCGUCGACUACUAGAUGGCGAGCCACCCACUCAUUCGAAUGUGAUCCUGUUCUACAUUGCGCAUGGCAUAUUUGGUAGGAUUGUGGCCUGCUCGUGUCACAUCACUGACUAUGACUGACUUCAACGCCUUGAACUGAACUGUUUGAAAGGAGCUAUUAUAUCUUUUUGAACAACUUAAAGGAACUCUCUACAUCGUCUCUUUUGAGGAUUUAAAGGACUAUUUCCAAUUUUUGAAGGACAAUUCAAUGUUUUUUUUUUUUUUUUUAA